ACCGAGCGCAGUGGCACGUGCCUGUAGUCCCACCUACUCAGGAGGCUGAGAUGGGAAGAUCACUUGAGCCCAGGAGUUCUGGGCUGUAGUGCACUAUGCCGAUCGGGUGUCCGCACUAAGUUCGGCAUCAAUAUGGUGACCUCCCUGGAGUGGGGGACCACCAGGUUGCCUAAGGAGUGGUGAACCAGCCCAGGUCAGAAAGGGAGCAGAUCAAACUCCCGUGCUGAUCAGUAGUGGGAUGGCGCCUGUGAAUAGCCACUGCACUCCAGCCUGGCAACAUAGUGAGACCCCGUCUCUA
Molecule: signal recognition particle RNA, 298 nt
Filed under: Callithrix jacchus (white-tufted-ear marmoset)
Lineage: Eukaryota; Metazoa; Chordata; Mammalia; Primates; Cebidae
Description: Metazoan signal recognition particle RNA (ENSCJAG00000070314.1)
Rfam family: Metazoan signal recognition particle RNA
About the family: The signal recognition particle (SRP) is a universally conserved ribonucleoprotein.
Source: Rfam by way of RNAcentral